UUAAGUUAUUAAGGGCGCACGGUGGAUGCCUUGGCACUAGAAGCCGAUGAAGGACGUUACUAACGACGAUAUGCUUUGGGGAGCUGUAAGUAAGCUUUGAUCCAGAGAUUUCCGAAUGGGGAAACCCAGCAUGAGUUAUGUCAUGUUAUCGAUAUGUGAAUACAUAGCAUAUCAGAAGGCACACCCGGAGAACUGAAACAUCUUAGUACCCGGAGGAAGAGAAAGAAAAUUCGAUUCCCUUAGUAGCGGCGAGCGAAACGGGAAGAGCCCAAACCAACAAGCUUGCUUGUUGGGGUUGUAGGACACUCUAUACGGAGUUACAAAGGACGACAUUAGACGAAUCAUCUGGAAAGAUGAAUCAAAGAAGGUAAUAAUCCUGUAGUCGAAAAUGUUGUCUCUCUUGAGUGGAUCCUGAGUACGACGGAGCACGUGAAAUUCCGUCGGAAUCUGGGAGGACCAUCUCCUAAGGCUAAAUACUCUCUAGUGACCGAUAGUGAACCAGUACCGUGAGGGAAAGGUGAAAAGCACCCCGGAAGGGGAGUGAAGUAGAACCUGAAACCGUGUGCUUACAAGUAGUCAGAGCCCGUUAAUGGGUGAUGGCGUGCCUUUUGUAGAAUGAACCGGCGAGUUACGAUUUGAUGCAAGGUUAAGCAGUAAAUGUGGAGCCGUAGCGAAAGCGAGUCUGAAUAGGGCGUUUAGUAUUUGGUCGUAGACCCGAAACCAGGUGAUCUACCCUUGGUCAGGUUGAAGUUCAGGUAACACUGAAUGGAGGACCGAACCGACUUACGUUGAAAAGUGAGCGGAUGAACUGAGGGUAGCGGAGAAAUUCCAAUCGAACCUGGAGAUAGCUGGUUCUCUCCGAAAUAGCUUUAGGGCUAGCCUCAAGUGAUGAUUAUUGGAGGUAGAGCACUGUUUGGACGAGGGGCCCCUCUCGGGUUACCGAAUUCAGACAAACUCCGAAUGCCAAUUAAUUUAACUUGGGAGUCAGAACAUGGGUGAUAAGGUCCGUGUUCGAAAGGGAAACAGCCCAGACCACCAGCUAAGGUCCCAAAAUAUAUGUUAAGUGGAAAAGGAUGUGGCGUUGCCCAGACAACUAGGAUGUUGGCUUAGAAGCAGCCAUCAUUUAAAGAGUGCGUAAUAGCUCACUAGUCGAGUGACACUGCGCCGAAAAUGUACCGGGGCUAAACAUAUUACCGAAGCUGUGGAUUGUCCUUUGGACAAUGGUAGGAGAGCGUUCUAAGGGCGUUGAAGCAUGAUCGUAAGGACAUGUGGAGCGCUUAGAAGUGAGAAUGCCGGUGUGAGUAGCGAAAGACGGGUGAGAAUCCCGUCCACCGAUUGACUAAGGUUUCCAGAGGAAGGCUCGUCCGCUCUGGGUUAGUCGGGUCCUAAGCUGAGGCCGACAGGCGUAGGCGAUGGAUAACAGGUUGAUAUUCCUGUACCACCUAUAAUCGUUUUAAUCGAUGGGGGGACGCAGUAGGAUAGGCGAAGCGUGCGAUUGGAUUGCACGUCUAAGCAGUAAGGCUGAGUAUUAGGCAAAUCCGGUACUCGUUAAGGCUGAGCUGUGAUGGGGAGAAGACAUUGUGUCUUCGAGUCGUUGAUUUCACACUGCCGAGAAAAGCCUCUAGAUAGAAAAUAGGUGCCCGUACCGCAAACCGACACAGGUAGUCAAGAUGAGAAUUCUAAGGUGAGCGAGCGAACUCUCGUUAAGGAACUCGGCAAAAUGACCCCGUAACUUCGGGAGAAGGGGUGCUCUUUAGGGUUAACGCCCAGAAGAGCCGCAGUGAAUAGGCCCAAGCGACUGUUUAUCAAAAACACAGGUCUCUGCUAAACCGUAAGGUGAUGUAUAGGGGCUGACGCCUGCCCGGUGCUGGAAGGUUAAGAGGAGUGGUUAGCUUCUGCGAAGCUACGAAUCGAAGCCCCAGUAAACGGCGGCCGUAACUAUAACGGUCCUAAGGUAGCGAAAUUCCUUGUCGGGUAAGUUCCGACCCGCACGAAAGGCGUAACGAUUUGGGCACUGUCUCAACGAGAGACUCGGUGAAAUCAUAGUACCUGUGAAGAUGCAGGUUACCCGCGACAGGACGGAAAGACCCCGUGGAGCUUUACUGUAGCCUGAUAUUGAAAUUCGGCACAGCUUGUACAGGAUAGGUAGGAGCCUUUGAAACGUGAGCGCUAGCUUACGUGGAGGCGCUGGUGGGAUACUACCCUAGCUGUGUUGGCUUUCUAACCCGCACCACUUAUCGUGGUGGGAGACAGUGUCAGGCGGGCAGUUUGACUGGGGCGGUCGCCUCCUAAAAGGUAACGGAGGCGCUCAAAGGUUCCCUCAGAAUGGUUGGAAAUCAUUCAUAGAGUGUAAAGGCAUAAGGGAGCUUGACUGCGAGACCUACAAGUCGAGCAGGGUCGAAAGACGGACUUAGUGAUCCGGUGGUUCCGCAUGGAAGGGCCAUCGCUCAACGGAUAAAAGCUACCCCGGGGAUAACAGGCUUAUCUCCCCCAAGAGUUCACAUCGACGGGGAGGUUUGGCACCUCGAUGUCGGCUCAUCGCAUCCUGGGGCUGUAGUCGGUCCCAAGGGUUGGGCUGUUCGCCCAUUAAAGCGGUACGCGAGCUGGGUUCAGAACGUCGUGAGACAGUUCGGUCCCUAUCCGUCGUGGGCGUAGGAAAUUUGAGAGGAGCUGUCCUUAGUACGAGAGGACCGGGAUGGACAUACCUCUGGUGUACCAGUUGUCGUGCCAACGGCAUAGCUGGGUAGCUAUGUGUGGACGGGAUAAGUGCUGAAAGCAUCUAAGCAUGAAGCCCCCCUCAAGAUGAGAUUUCCCAACUUCGGUUAUAAGAUCCCUCAAAGAUGAUGAGGUUAAUAGGUUCGAGGUGGAAGCAUGGUGACAUGUGGAGCUGACGAAUACUAAUCGAUCGAAGACUUAAUCAA
RNAcentral lists this ribosomal RNA (2921 nucleotides) under Staphylococcus aureus VET0361R. Its description in RNAcentral is "bacterial LSU rRNA". It matches the Rfam family "Bacterial large subunit ribosomal RNA". The record is from RNAcentral. Lineage: Bacteria; Bacillati; Bacillota; Bacilli; Caryophanales; Staphylococcaceae.